RNAcentral lists this ribosomal RNA (440 nucleotides) under uncultured bacterium. RNAcentral describes it as "partial 16S ribosomal RNA". It matches the Rfam family "Bacterial small subunit ribosomal RNA", at positions 338 to 795 of the family's 1533-position model. The record is from RNAcentral.
CCUACGGGAGGCAGCAGUGGGGGAUAUUGCACAAUGGGGGAAACCCUGAUGCAGCGACGCCGCGUGGGUGAAGAAGCGCCUCGGCGCGUAAAGCCCUGUCAGCAGGGAAGAAAAUGACGGUACCUGAAGAAGAAGCCCCGGCUAACUACGUGCCAGCAGCCGGGGUAAUACGUAGGGGGCAAGCGUUAUCCGGAUUUACUGGGUGUAAAGGGGGCGCAGAAGGCGAGGCAAGCCAGGAGUGAAAGCCCGGGGCCCAACCCCGGGACUGCUCUUGGAACUGCGUGGCUAGAGUGCAGGAGGGGCAGGCGGAAUUCCUGGUGUAGCGGUGAAAUGCGUAGAUAUCAGGAGGAACACCGGUGGCGAAGGCGGCCUGCUGGACUGCAACUGACGUUGAGGCCCGAAAGCGUGGGGAGCAAACAGGAUUAGAUACCCGAGUAGUC